UACGGGGGGGGCAAGCGUUGUUCGGAAUUACUGGGCGUAAAGGGCGCGUAGGCGGUUCGUACAGUCAGACGUGAAAUUCCUGGGCUCAACCUGGGGGCUGCGUUUGAUACGUGCGGACUUGAGUGCGGAAGAGGGUCGUGGAAUUCCCAGUGUAGAGGUGAAAUUCGUAGAUAUUGGGAAGAACACCGGUGGCGAAGGCGGCGACCUGGUCCGAUACUGACGCUGAGGCGCGAAAGCGUGGGGAGCGAACAGG
Molecule: ribosomal RNA, 253 nt
Filed under: uncultured bacterium
Lineage: Bacteria
Description: partial 16S ribosomal RNA
Rfam family: Bacterial small subunit ribosomal RNA
Source: RNAcentral